Molecule: long non-coding RNA, 508 nt
Organism: Saccostrea cuccullata (small rock oyster)
Lineage: Eukaryota; Metazoa; Mollusca; Bivalvia; Ostreida; Ostreidae
Exons: 4
Source: RefSeq, a predicted model, not a curated record
UCUUACGGGGAGUGCAAACUAAUCGUGACUUUAUAAAAGCCGUCGGUGUUCAGUUUAAACACAUAUAGGAUCUUGGAUUUUUGUCCUCCUUGAUUCAAAUAUCAAAAUGAAAGUCACCCUAAGCAUAUUGAUUCUGUUUGGGGUAUUUGCCUGUGUUUCUGCUGGGGGGUAUGGACAUAACCAUUGGGGCGCCUAUAGACAAUAUUACUAUCAACCAAGACAGUUAAUUUACCAAGCACAACAGCCAUAUUACGUAACCUAUGCUGCUGCACAACCUUUUGGUGUCGGUGUGGGUGGCGGAUCCAACGCUGGAUCAAUAAUUCCAAUCAUAAUCAUUUUUGUUCUUCUUGCAAUAUUCGCUCCUGCGUUGAUUGCCUCUUUGGCUAGCAGCAAUGAGGCUUUCUAUGACAGUGUCAGUUAGAAAUAGAUGGAAUGAGACAUAAUAGGAAAAGGAUGUAAAUAAUUGACUGCCUGUAACAGAAUAUAGAAUAAAGACUUAAGACUUUUU